RNAcentral lists this ribosomal RNA (459 nucleotides) under uncultured bacterium. RNAcentral describes it as "partial 16S ribosomal RNA". It matches the Rfam family "Bacterial small subunit ribosomal RNA", at positions 338 to 795 of the family's 1533-position model. The record is from RNAcentral.
CCUACGGGGGGCAGCAGUGAGGAAUAUUGGUCAAUGGGCGGGAGACUGAACCAGCCAAGCCGCGUGAGGGAAGAAGGUACAGCGUAUCGUAAACCUCUUUUGUCAGGGAACAAAGGCGGGGACUAGUCCCCGGAUGAGUGUACCUGAAGAAAAAGCAUCGGCUAACUCCGUGCCAGCGGCCGCGGUAAUACGGAGGAUGCGAGCGUUAUCCGGAUUUGUUGGGUUUAAAGGGUGCGCAGGCGGCCUGUUAAGUCAGCGGUAAAAGCCCGGGGCUCAACCCCGGCGCGCCGGUGAAACUGGCGGGCUGGAGUGGGAGAGAAGUACGCGGAAUGCGCGGUGUAGCGGUGAAAUGCUUAGAUAGCGCGCAGAACCCCGAUUGCGAAGGCAGCAUACCGGCUCCACACUGACGCUGAGGCACGAAAGCGUGGGUAUCGAACAGGAUUAGAUACCCCUGUAGUC